UAUGUCAAAUGUCAGAGGCCCUAUCG
This 26-nucleotide small RNA is filed under the name Bombyx mori (domestic silkworm). Its description in RNAcentral is "ovarian small RNA-24011". The record is from RNAcentral. Lineage: Eukaryota; Metazoa; Arthropoda; Insecta; Lepidoptera; Bombycidae.